GGGGCUGAUUUUGGAUUCGACGUAAUUUAUAAAAAAUUUUGAAGCAUGCCGGGGAAAGGUUGGCCUCGUUAAAAAACCUAAUAAAUAAUUGCAGAAAAAAAAAUAAAUUAUUCUUUAGCAGCGUAAAUAAAUAAAUAAAUAUAAGUUAAAUAACUGUAAAAUAAUAAAUAUUAAAUAUUAAAUAUUAAUAAAUCAAUAAUUAUUUUAAUCUUGUUUAAUUAUAAUAAAAUUAAACUAAGCAUGUAGUAUCAAAAAUAUAAAAAAAUUACGGACGCGGGUUCAAAUCCCGCCAGCUCCAA
This 299-nucleotide transfer-messenger RNA is filed under the name Candidatus Psyllophila symbiotica. RNAcentral describes it as "Enterobacteriaceae bacterium Cmel17 transfer-messenger RNA". It matches the Rfam family "transfer-messenger RNA". Rfam says of the family: Bacterial tmRNA, also known as 10Sa RNA or SsrA, is named for its dual tRNA and mRNA-like properties. Lineage: Bacteria; Pseudomonadati; Pseudomonadota; Gammaproteobacteria; Enterobacterales; Enterobacteriaceae. The record is from RNAcentral.